AUUGAACGCUGGCGGCAGGCCUAACACAUGCAAGUCGAACGAGUGGCGGACGGGUGAGUAAUGUCUGGGAAUCUGCCCGAUAGCGGGGGAUAACUACUGGAAACGGUAGCUAAUACCGCAUACUAUCGGAUGUGCCCAUAUGGGAUUAGCUAGUAGGUGGGGUAACGGCUCACCUAGGCGACGAUCCCUAGCUGGUCUGAGAGGAUGACCAGCCACACUGGAACUGAGACACGGUCCAGACUCCUACGGGAGGCAGCAGUGGGGAAUAUUGCACAAUGGGCGCAAGCCUGAUGCAGCCAUGCCGCGUGUAUGAAGAAGGCCUUCGGGUUGUAAAGUUCUUUCGGUAGCGAGGCGUUAACUACAGAAGAAGCACCGGCUAACUCCGUGCCAGCAGCCGCGGUAAUUC
This 406-nucleotide ribosomal RNA is filed under the name uncultured bacterium. RNAcentral's name for it is "partial 16S ribosomal RNA". It matches the Rfam family "Bacterial small subunit ribosomal RNA", at positions 30 to 526 of the family's 1533-position model. The record is from RNAcentral.